GGUACAUCCUGCUGGUACGUUCUCUGCACAGUCAUGAUUCCAAAGCAAGCAGUCUCCUCUCCUCUCUGUGAGGCUUGACACUGGGAAGGAGAGAUUAGAAGAGGAGUAUCUCCACUUAUUCUGCUUGUUUGAAAACAUUCCCCUGCUUUUUCUCUUUCUUUCUCUGUCUCUCUGGUAUGACCCUGUUCAAGAGUGAAUAUCACAGCCUAAGACAUAAAACCAUGACUGGGGAAAUGAGAGCCAGCCGCCCAAAGGCGGGAACCAAGAGAGCCAGCAGUGAGGCCUACAGAUCUGACUAUGACCUGGAGUACGACAGCUAUCCAGAUGACCUCUACAACAGGAAGGUUAUUCAUUCUGUCACCUCUGUGUUCUGAGGUACUGCUGUGACCAGCCUCCAGUCACACCUCAUGAGGUCACAUCCAGUGUAGG
Molecule: long non-coding RNA, 429 nt
Organism: Esox lucius (northern pike)
Lineage: Eukaryota; Metazoa; Chordata; Actinopteri; Esociformes; Esocidae
Source: Ensembl